CAGAGGAACCUGUCCCGUAAUCGAUAAUCCACGUUGGACCUUACUUAAGUUUGUUUAGUUUAUAUACCGUCGUUAUAAAAAACUUUUUUAGAAAAAUAGUUUUUAAUAAUUAGUAUUAUAAUUUAUAUCAGAUCAAGGUGUAGCUUAUGCUUAAGUGGUGAUGGGUUACAGUAAAUUUAUUUAUACGGAUUUUAUAUUGAAAUUAAAAAUGAAGGUGGAUUUGAAAGUAAAUUCCUAGAGAUAGAGGGGUUGAAAUUAGCUCUAAAGUAUGUAC
RNAcentral lists this ribosomal RNA (274 nucleotides) under Australoconops phaeomeros. Its description in RNAcentral is "partial 12S ribosomal RNA". Lineage: Eukaryota; Metazoa; Arthropoda; Insecta; Diptera; Conopidae. The record is from RNAcentral.